GAUGAACGCUGGCGGCGUGCCUAAUACAUGCAAGUCGAGCGAACGGACGAGAAGCUUGCUUCUCUGAUGUUAGCGGCGGACGGGUGAGUAACACGUGGAUAACCUACCUAUAAGACUGGGAUAACUUCGGGAAACCGGAGCUAAUACCGGAUAAUAUUUUGAACCGCAUGGUUCAAAAGUGAAAGACGGUCUUGCUGUCACUUAUAGAUGGAUCAGUGCUGCAUUAGCUAGUUGGUAAGGUAACGGCUUACCAAGGCAACGAUGCAUAGCCGACCUGAGAGGGUGAUCGGCCACACUGGAACUGAGACACGGUCCAGACUCCUACGGGAGGCAGCAGUAGGGAAUCUUCCGCAAUGGGCGAAAGCCUGACGGAGCAACGCCGCGUGAGUGAUGAAGGUCUUCGGAUCGUAAAACUCUGUUAUUAGGGAAGAACAUAUGUGUAAGUAACUGUGCACAUCUUGACGGUACCUAAUCAGAAAGCCACGGCUAACUACGUG
RNAcentral lists this ribosomal RNA (497 nucleotides) under uncultured bacterium. Its description in RNAcentral is "partial 16S ribosomal RNA". It matches the Rfam family "Bacterial small subunit ribosomal RNA", at positions 28 to 507 of the family's 1533-position model. The record is from RNAcentral.